This 449-nucleotide ribosomal RNA is filed under the name uncultured bacterium. RNAcentral's name for it is "partial 16S ribosomal RNA". It matches the Rfam family "Bacterial small subunit ribosomal RNA", at positions 329 to 792 of the family's 1533-position model. The record is from RNAcentral.
UGCCAGACUCCUACGGGAGGCAGCAGUGGGGAAUAUUGGGCAAUGGGCGCAAGCCUGACCCAGCAACGCCGCGUGAAGGAAGAAGGCUUUCGGGUUGUAAACUUCUUUUAAGAGGGACGAAACAAAUGACGGUACCUCUUGAAUAAGCCACGGCUAACUACGUGCCAGCAGCCGCGGUAAUACGUAGGUGGCAAGCGUUAUCCGGAUUUAUUGGGUGUAAAGGGCGUGUAGGCGGGAAAGCAAGUCAGAUGUGAAAACUAUGGGCUCAACCCAUAGCCUGCAUUUGAAACUGUUUUUCUUGAGUGCUGGAGAGGCAAUCGGAAUUCCGUGUGUAGCGGUGAAAUGCGUAGAUAUACGGAGGAACACCAGUGGCGAAGGCGGCUUGCUGGACGAAAACUGACGUUGAGGCUCGAAAGCGUGGGGAGCAAACAGGAUUAGAUACCCCUGUA